AACGAACGCUGGCGGCAUGCCUAACACAUGCAAGUCGAACGAGACCUUCGGGUCUAGUGGCGCACGGGUGCGUAACGCGUGGGAACCUGCCCUUAGGUUCGGAAUAACUCCCCGAAAUGGGUGCUAAUACCGGAUAAUGUCUUCGGACCAAAGAUUUAUCGCCUUUGGAUGGGCCCGCGUUGGAUUAGCUAGUUGGUAGGGUAAAAGCCUACCACGGCGACGAUCCAUAGCUGGUUUGAGAGGAUGAUCAGCCACACUGGGACUGAGACACGGCCCAGAAUACUACGGGAGGAAGCAGUGGGGAAUAUUGGAAAAUGGGCGAAAGGCUGAACCAGCAAUGCCGCGUGAGUGAUGAAGGUCUUAGGGUUGUAAAGCUAUUUUACCCGGGAUGAUAAUGACAGUACCGGGAGAAUAAGCUCCGGCUAACUCCGUG
RNAcentral lists this ribosomal RNA (433 nucleotides) under uncultured bacterium. Its description in RNAcentral is "partial 16S ribosomal RNA". It matches the Rfam family "Bacterial small subunit ribosomal RNA", at positions 29 to 507 of the family's 1533-position model. The record is from RNAcentral.